RNAcentral lists this ribosomal RNA (253 nucleotides) under uncultured bacterium. RNAcentral describes it as "partial 16S ribosomal RNA". It matches the Rfam family "Bacterial small subunit ribosomal RNA", at positions 524 to 776 of the family's 1533-position model. The record is from RNAcentral.
UACGUAGGGUGCAAGCGUUAUCCGGAAUUAUUGGGCGUAAAGAGCUCGUAGGCGGUUUGUCGCGUCUGCUGUGAAGACUGGAGGCUCAACCUCCAGCCUGCAGUGGGUACGGGCAGACUAGAGUGCGGUAGGGGAGAUUGGAAUUCCUGGUGUAGCGGUGGAAUGCGCAGAUAUCAGGAGGAACACCGAUGGCGAAGGCGGGUCUCUGGGCAACAACUGACGCUGAGGAGCGAAAGCGUGGGGAGCGAACAGG